This 3445-nucleotide long non-coding RNA is filed under the name Sus scrofa (pig). RNAcentral's name for it is "lncRNA (ENSSSCG00050034118.1)". The record is from RNAcentral. Lineage: Eukaryota; Metazoa; Chordata; Mammalia; Artiodactyla; Suidae.
ACUGAAGUUGUUCUUUUCUGCCUCAUUUAAGUGUGGAAUGCUGAAUGUAGCCACGUGGAAAUUAAUCGCUUGUUUUGUUGUUAUAUAAUUAAGAGCUUAAUUAAAAAUAAAUAACUCUAAGUUCUCACUUCAUUUUCUCCAUUUGCACAACUUGGAUAUUUCAUUUUGUCGCCCAUUGGAAUUGGAAAGUGAGCGUUCAGUGUCGGGAACUUUCCUGAGGAUUGCUCCCCGAGGGCCCCGAGCCGUGUGUGUCGCCUCACCGCUGCCCGGGCAGUGUCUGCAGGGCCUUGGGAGCGCGGAGUGCUUGUGGCUUGCCCGUCUAGCCUGCCAAGUGGAGGGCUGAGCGGCUGUUGACAGAUGAUGCUCUUUCUAAGAAACCUGCCCUGGACGGCUCUCAUCCCAUUCCCUUGAGCUGCAUCAGGUCCACAUGUAGUGAGGAGAAGCAUCUGCUCUGGGGUUUCGUCUGUAAAUUCCACUUCCCCCAAUAGUGGGCCCAAGGCUGUGCCUAUGACAUAGUAGCUCCACUUCACGAGUGACUCUGUGAGAAGUUGCCAUCGUGGUGCAGGGGUUAACAAACCCAACUACUAUCCACGAGGGCUCGGGUUUGAUCCCUGGCCUCUUUCCGUGGUUUAAGGAUCCAGCAUUGUUAUGAGUUGUGGUGUAGGUCACAGACACAGCUUGAAUCUGGCAUUGCUGGGGCUGUGCUGCCAGCCUAUGCCAGAGCCACGGCAACGCGGGAUCCGAGCCGCUUCUGCAACCUACACCACAGCUCACGGCAAGGCCGGAUGGUUAACCCACUGAGCAAGGGCAGGGACCGAACCCGCAACUUCAUGGUUCCUAGUCGGAUUCGUUAACCACUGCGCCACGAUGGGAACUCCUCGAUUUCUGCUUAACAAAUUAAACCCAGACUUUGAAGCCUAAGGCAACAACCAUUUCAUUUUGUCUUGUGAUUUUUGUGAGUAAGGAACUGGUGUAGCUGGGUGAUUCUUCUGCUCCUCGUGGUGUUGGCUGAGUCAGUGGUCCCCUGGGGGUGGGUGAGCUGGAUUGGCACUCAGCUGGUCCAGGAUGGUCCCCCAUAUGCCUGCACCUGUCCAGGGUGAGCAGAGUGCUUAUGUGUGACCUUUCCAAUGUGGCAGUUUUGGAGUAGGCAGGCUUUUUGGCUCAGAGCUCAGGACUCCCAGGGAAAGCAUUCCAGAAGAUGGGCAGUAGAUACUGUCAGUUUGUUUUUUUUUUUGUUUUGUUUUGUUUUUAAAGAUUUUGAUUUUUUCUGUUAAGAGUUGACUUACAGUGUUUUGUCCAUUUCUGCUGUACAGUGAAGUGACCCAGUUACACAGCAUAUAUACACAUUCUUUUCUCACAUUUUCCUCCAUCAUGUUCCAGAGCAAGUGACGAGACAGAGUUCCCUGUGCUGUACAGCAGGAUCUCAUUGCUUAUCCACUCCAAAUACAAUAGUUUGCAUCUGCUAACCCCAAACUUCCAGUCCCUCCCACUCUUUCCCCCUCCCCCUUGGCAACUAACCACAAGCCUGUUCUCCAUGUCCAUGGGUUUGUUUCUUUUGUGUCUAUAGGUCCAUUUAUGCCAUAUAUUCUAUUCCAGAUGUAAGUGAUGUUAUAUGGUGUUUGUCUUUCUCUUUCUGACUUACUUAGUAUGAGAGCUUCUAGUUCCAUCCAUGCUGCAAAUGGCAUUUUGUUCUUUUUAAAGGCUGAGUAGUAUUCCCUUGUGUAUCUUCUUAAUCCGUUUAUCUGUCAGUGGGCAUUUAGGUUGUUUCCAUGUCUUGGCUAUUGUGAGUAGUGCUGCAGUGAACAUAGGGGUGGCAUGUAUCUUUUGAAUGAAUGUUUUGUGUGGAUAUAUGCCCAGGAGUGGGAUUGCUGGCUCAUAUGGUAGUUGUCUAUUUAGUUUUUGAGGUACCUCCAUACUGUUUUCCACAGUGGUUAUAGAAGCUUCCAGGUUCUUAAGGCCUGUGUCUAGAAACAUCUGUCUUAUCACUUAGGCGGUCACAGGAGUCGCAGGGCCCACUUUGACUCAAGGGGCGUGGGCAUGGCCACUGGCUGACCGUGGAAACGUCGGAGUUUGUGGUUCUCUUUAGCCUGCCACACUGGGUAAUAACAGAAUUGACCUCUUUGCCUGCAGAAUGAGUUCAGACUUUCUGAAAAUGAAAUGAGCUGAUCAUGUACAAAUCCAGUCAGGUCCAAACGUCCUGGCCGCUAACUCUUCCUCGAGUUGGCCCCACCCUACUUUGCCAAGCUCGUUUCCCCUGUAGUUGUCCCUCCCAUGUUUCCCCAGAGCAGUCCGUGUGUGGGGGUGGUGUGGAAUUCCGAACGAACCGCUUCAUUGCUCAUCCAGCUCUGCUUAGAAGCAUGUUUCACGUAAGCCUGACCUUCGCUGGGCCAGGCAGAGAAUGACGUGUGGUGGGAGAGCGCAUUCGUUGAGUACCAUUGAUUCCACCCACGCCUUCGUGGGGAGCCUCCGCAGGCAUUUAGAGCAGAGCUGCGAGGUUCUCAGGCUGGCCUUUUGGGAGGCUGUCCGGACAGCUGCAUGAGAACCGGGGCGGGGGCGGGGGGGACCCGCAGGGAGAGGAUUUGUCACCCGGGCAAGAAAGGAGGCAUUUCUGAGCAAACAUGUUUGCAGGGAGUAUAGGGAGAAGGUGGUCCUGGGAGGUGUAGGGAGGUGAAACCUUCCCGCUUGGUCGACACGGGUAGAGGAUGGUAGGCGUGGUCCCUGGAGAGGGAAGGCCGCAGGGCUCACUGGGCUUGGACUCGAUGGCACCAUCCGUGAAGAUGGGGGACGGGAGGAGGAGUGAUGUGGUGGGGAGAUGGACUGGCCUCUUUGGCCAUGUUGAGUUCACGGCUGCCCCGAGCAGCCCAGCGGAAGUGGUUCCUGGGCAUCUGGAGUUAGAUCUGGCCCUCAGGGGUGCAGACGGGAUGGAGUUUAACCAGGCACGAUCAUACUGGCAGGUUGGGACGGGAGAACCCAGCGUCUGACUGAGGUGAUCUGCUUGCCUUGGAAAUGGCUGAGUUGUUUUCACACAACAAGUAAACGCACGCCUAAAAACCCAAGACCCUCUCCCUAUGUUACACUGUGGGUUUCAGACCAGCUGGAUUCACACCCUGGUCUCUCUGAACAUCUCGCGCUUCUUUUCCUUUUUUUUGUUCCUUUUGCUUCGAAUAUACCCUGACUUUCCAUCCACUUUCUUCCAGUUCCUUCAUGUCUAACUUCAGCCCAUACUUUGAAACCCAUUGCAAAUGCUGAGGAGUUCCCACUGUGGUGCAGGGGGUUAAGAACCUGACUGCAGUGGCUUGGGUGACUGUGCAGGCAUGGGUUCAACCCCUGGCCCAGCACAGUGGGUUAAAGAACCCGGUGUUGAUGCAGCUGUGGCAUAGGUUGAACCCGGCCCAAAACUUCCAUGUUCUGGGGGUGCGGCAUAAAAUUAAAAAAAAAAAAAAAA